RNAcentral lists this ribosomal RNA (557 nucleotides) under uncultured bacterium. RNAcentral's name for it is "partial 16S ribosomal RNA". It matches the Rfam family "Bacterial small subunit ribosomal RNA", at positions 355 to 900 of the family's 1533-position model. The record is from RNAcentral.
UAGGGAAUCUUCCACAAUGGACGCAAGUCUGAUGGAGCAACGCCGCGUGAGUGAAGAAGGCUUUCGGGUCGUAAAACUCUGUUGUUGGAGAAGAAUGGUCGGCAGAGUAACUGUUGCCGGCGUGACGGUAUCCAACCAGAAAGCCACGGCUAACUACGUGCCAGCAGCCGCGGUAAUACGUAGGUGGCAAGCGUUAUCCGGAUUUAUUGGGCGUAAAGCGAGCGCAGGCGGUUUUUUAAGUCUGAUGUGAAAGCCCUCGGCUUAACCGAGGAAGCGCAUCGGAAACUGGGAAACUUGAGUGCAGAAGAGGACAGUGGAACUCCAUGUGUAGCGGUGAAAUGCGUAGAUAUAUGGAAGAACACCAGUGGCGAAGGCGGCUGUCUGGUCUGUAACUGACGCUGAGGCUCGAAAGCAUGGGUAGCGAACAGGAUUAGAUACCCUGGUAGUCCAUGCCGUAAACGAUGAAUGCUAGGUGUUGGAGGGUUUUCCGCCCCUUCAGUGCCGCAGCUAACGCAUUAAGCAUUCCGCCUGGGGGAGUACGACCGCAAGGUUGAAAC